AGGGGGUCCAGGAGGUGCAGUGGUGAGAUCAGACGUCCUCCCACAAGUUCCCUCCUCUCGGACACCCAGUCCUUUUGGAAGUCUUCUACAGCCUCCCCAUAGGCAUGUCUCAGAAUUUGGACUUGGCUUCCUGUGGUCCAGGGAGCGGGGUGUGUAGUGUGCAGUGUCGGCCGACGGCCUGUAUAGGUCCGGUAACGGCUGUACCUCCACAUCUGCUUCCACGACCUGCUACGACGGGACAUGCCUCAGACAACACAGAAGACCUCCAGAAGGCUGAAAGAAAAGGCUGAAUGUUGUAAAUAAAAAAUGUAUAGUAUAUGAAA
Molecule: long non-coding RNA, 323 nt
Organism: Acanthochromis polyacanthus (spiny chromis)
Lineage: Eukaryota; Metazoa; Chordata; Actinopteri; Pomacentridae
Exons: 3
Source: RefSeq, a predicted model, not a curated record